RNAcentral lists this ribosomal RNA (116 nucleotides) under Fidelibacterota bacterium. Lineage: Bacteria; Pseudomonadati; Fidelibacterota. RNAcentral also lists the same sequence under 2 other names. The record is from RNAcentral.
GUUGGUGGCUAUACAGAAGAGGCCCCACCCAGCUCCAUUUCGAACCUGGAAGUUAAGCUCUUCAUCGCCGAUAAUACUGCCGGGUCCCCUGGUGGAAACGUAGGUCGCUGCCAACU